RNAcentral lists this small RNA (29 nucleotides) under Bombyx mori (domestic silkworm). RNAcentral describes it as "ovarian small RNA-36744". The record is from RNAcentral. Lineage: Eukaryota; Metazoa; Arthropoda; Insecta; Lepidoptera; Bombycidae.
UUAGUCAAUGUUCUGGCUCCAUAAGCUAC